Molecule: unclassified non-coding RNA, 236 nt
Filed under: uncultured Nocardioidaceae bacterium
Lineage: Bacteria; Bacillati; Actinomycetota; Actinomycetes; Propionibacteriales; Nocardioidaceae
Description: contains 16S-23S intergenic spacer region
Source: RNAcentral
UCCGAGUUGACCCCUAUCUCUAGGGGCUUCUGGCGUAUGUCAAACCCAGGUAAGGUUCUUCGCGUUGCAUCGAAUUAAUCCGCAUGCUCCGCCGCUUGUGCGGGCCCCCGUCAAUUCCUUUGAGUUUUAGCCUUGCGGCCGUACUCCCCAGGCGGGGCGCUUAAUGCGUUAGCUACGGCACGGAACCCAUGGAAUAGGUCCCACACCUAGCGCCCAACGUUUACGGUGUGGACUAC